RNAcentral lists this transfer RNA (73 nucleotides) under Ixodes scapularis (black-legged tick). RNAcentral's name for it is "tRNA-Ser". Lineage: Eukaryota; Metazoa; Arthropoda; Arachnida; Ixodida; Ixodidae. The record is from RNAcentral.
CCCUGGUUAGCUCAGUUGGUGGAGCCCUCCACCACUAAUGGAGAGGUCCCGGGUUCGAUACCCGGACCAGGCG